AAAAGACUUUAAGCUGCACUUUAUCCGUGCUUGGAACAGCAAAGACAGCAGUUACAAGACCUAACAGAUGAUGCAGAUCAAAUAUUAAAUAGCUCUGGGAAUAAAAGUACUCGCAAAUGUACUAAAUGCAAAGCUCCAAUGAAAGGACAUCCUCGAGGUCAAUGCUUCACUGAAAAAGAAUAAAUUGAAGUUGGUAGAUGAUAGGGCAGUGGUCAGACAUUGCUUGGAGCCUGUCUGGAAUGGAGAAGUAAGGCACCUCCUUCCCACCACCAGCCUGAGGGUUCACCUUAGGCAAGUGAUAGUACCCUCUAGCCUCCCUAUCUGGGCACUGAUAUACACACCUUUCCUGAUGAUUACAGUAUUAAUAUAACAUUGA
This is a long non-coding RNA of Xenia sp. Carnegie-2017, 376 nucleotides long. RefSeq lists it as uncharacterized. The transcript has 2 exons. The record is from RefSeq and is a predicted model, not a curated record. NCBI's taxonomy places the organism in Eukaryota, Metazoa, Cnidaria, Anthozoa, Malacalcyonacea, Xeniidae.